UGGAUCCAGACUUUGAUUCUGGCUCAGGAUGAACGCUAGCUACAGGCUUAACACAUGCAAGUCGAGGGGAAACGACAUCGGAAGCUUGCUUUUGAUGGGCGUCGACCGGCGCACGGGUGAGUAACGCGUAUCCAACCUGCCCACCACUUGGGGAUAACCUUGCGAAAGUAAGACUAAUACCCAAUGACGUCUCUAGAAGACAUCUGAAAGAGAUUAAAGAUUUAUCGGUGAUGGAUGGGGAUGCGUCUGAUUAGCUUGUUGGCGGGGUAACGGCCCACCAAGGCAACGAUCAGUAGGGGUUCUGAGAGGAAGGUCCCCCACAUUGGAACUGAGACACGGUCCAAACUCCUACGGGAGGCAGCAGUGAGGAAUAUUGGUCAAUGGACGAGAGUCUGAACCAGCCAAGUAGCGUGCAGGAUGACGGCCCUAUGGGUUGUAAACUGCUUUUAUAAGGGAAUAAAGUGAGUCUCGUGAGACUUUUUGCAUGUACCUUAUGAAUAAGGACCGGCUAAUUCCGUGCCAGCAGCCGCGGUAAUACGGAAGGUCCGGGCGUUAUCCGGAUUUAUUGGGUUUAAAGGGAGCGUAGGCCGGAGAUUAAGCGUGCUGA
RNAcentral lists this ribosomal RNA (607 nucleotides) under uncultured bacterium. RNAcentral's name for it is "bacterial SSU rRNA". It matches the Rfam family "Bacterial small subunit ribosomal RNA", at positions 1 to 595 of the family's 1533-position model. RNAcentral also lists the same sequence under 1 other name. The record is from RNAcentral.